RNAcentral lists this transfer-messenger RNA (357 nucleotides) under Halomonadaceae. Its description in RNAcentral is "Oceanospirillum sp014164585 Standard tmRNA". It matches the Rfam family "transfer-messenger RNA". Rfam says of the family: Bacterial tmRNA, also known as 10Sa RNA or SsrA, is named for its dual tRNA and mRNA-like properties. The record is from RNAcentral. RNAcentral also lists the same sequence under 1 other name. Lineage: Bacteria; Pseudomonadati; Pseudomonadota; Gammaproteobacteria; Oceanospirillales.
GGGGGUGAUUUGGCUUCGACGCUGGUUACAAACCCUGAGGUGCAUGUCGAGAGGGUAACGUAUCUCGUAAAUCCCGCGUUACUACUAAAUAGUCGCAAACGACGAAAACUACGCUCUAGCCGCUUAAUGGCUGCCUUUGAAGGAAGUUGCCUGUAACUUCUGGACAAGGUUUAUGAGCCCGCGAAACAGGCUCGCAGCAAAGUCCGCCUUAGACCGCGCUGCUAAAUAUUUUAAGGCUCGCGUAUAACAAUCCUGUUCGUUGGAGUGUUACACGUUAAAUAAAAAGACGAAACUAAGCAUGUAGAUCCGAUGGCAGAGGACUGACGGACGCGGGUUCAAUUCCCGCCACCUCCACCA